GUGGCACUUAGGAAAUUUCUUGCUGGACACAACGCGUCCAGUGGUUGUUAAAGUGUUUUAAUUAUUGCAAUCUCGAGGUCGUAAAGUCAAUAACAGGUCAAAAAGUUACAACUAGAAGAAAACAACCACCACCGAGUUUGGACUAUAAAUUAGCAUGUUUUGUGAGUGCUUUUGAAGUGCACUAGAGACUGAGUAGUCAUGGCUUGUAAGAGUUCCUCCCUUGUCUGUGUGAUUCUGUUUCUCUGUGUGUUGAGCUUUUCUGUCAACUCAAACAUAGCAUUUGCAAGGAACAUUAACAAUGGUGCUGCUUCUCCAAUUUAUGCAGCUGCAUAUGAAACGAGUUCGAGUACAGAUCGGGGCGCAGAUGGCGCACGUGGCCACAAUUUUCAUCCAAAAUACUUGAGUCCGACUCAAUGAUCAGAGAUGACCAUAUAUAAAGUUUCUAAAUUUUGUUAUUGAUGUUUUGUGCAAUAAACAUUGGACUCAAUAUGCUUAUCAUGAGCAUGUGUAUGUAUAAGAUUCAACAUUCAUUUGUUUAGUGUCGUUCAUGUAUUACGUUUGCAAUACUUUGUAUAAUAAUUGAUUUUGAAGAA
Lotus japonicus is the source of this 593-nucleotide long non-coding RNA. RefSeq lists it as uncharacterized. NCBI's taxonomy places the organism in Eukaryota, Viridiplantae, Streptophyta, Magnoliopsida, Fabales, Fabaceae. The record is from RefSeq and is a predicted model, not a curated record. The transcript is spliced from 2 exons.